Molecule: small nuclear RNA, 103 nt
Filed under: Tursiops truncatus (common bottlenose dolphin)
Lineage: Eukaryota; Metazoa; Chordata; Mammalia; Artiodactyla; Delphinidae
Source: RNAcentral
GUGCCCACUUUGGCGCACAUCUACUAAAAUUGGAACAAUACACAGAUAAGCAUGGCUCUCGUGCAAGGAUGACAUGCACGUUCGUUAAACGUUCUAUAUAUUU